CCUACGGGAGGCAGCAGUGGGGAAUAUUGCACAAUGGGCGAAAGCCUGAUGCAGCGACGCCGCGUGAGGGAUGACGGCCUUCGGGUUGUAAACCUCUUUCAGCAGGGAAGAAGCGAAAGUGACGGUACCUGCAGAAGAAGCGCCGGCUAACUACGUGCCAGCAGCCGCGGUAAUACGUAGGGCGCAAGCGUUGUCCGGAAUUAUUGGGCGUAAAGAGCUUGUAGGUGGCUUGUCGCGUCUGCCGUGAAAACCCCGAGGCUCAACCUCGGGCGUGCGGUGGGUACGGGCAGGCUAGAGUGUGGUAGGGGAGACUGGAACUCCUGGUGUAGCGGUGAAAUGCGCAGAUAUCAGGAAGAACACCGAUGGCGAAGGCAGGUCUCUGGGCCAUUACUGACACUGAGAAGCGAAAGCAUGGGGAGCGAACAGGAUUAGAUACCCUGGUAGUCCAUGCCGUAAACGUUGGGCACUAGAUGUGGGGAACAUUCCACGUUUUCCGCGUCGUAGCUAACGCAUUAAGUGCCCCGCCUGGGGAGUACGGCCGCAAGGCUAAAACUUAAAUGAAUGACGG
This 568-nucleotide ribosomal RNA is filed under the name uncultured bacterium. RNAcentral describes it as "bacterial SSU rRNA". It matches the Rfam family "Bacterial small subunit ribosomal RNA", at positions 338 to 916 of the family's 1533-position model. The record is from RNAcentral.